AGAGAUACUUUCUUGCAAGAAGACUGGGGUUGCAGAGUCUGAGUUGGACCUGAAUUUGCCCUUCCCAUUUCCUCCCCACAGCCUUUGUAAAGCAGGAAUGAUUUUUCCUCAGCCCUCCCUGCUGCUUGGGAAAGAGAAAACGGAAUUUUAUUCUUCAGUAACACUGAGACCAAGGCAUGAGACCUGAAUUGCUCAGAGAAUGUAAUCAUUGCAGCUUUGCCUAAGAGCAGAAAUAGGAACUGGCAUGAGUCCUCUGUGUGGGAACAUCUGGUAAAGAUGGCAACACUCUGGGCUCCAUCUCAGCCCCAGCCUGGCUCUUGGUCCGAGUGAAUGCCUGUGAAACAAGGCUCCACAUCUGUAUGAGCUUCAACCUGACUGGAGAGGGAGAGGAGCUUUGAAUCAAGUUGGAGACAGAAGAAGAGAAAGAUUCAGAGGGCAUUGUGUGGCUCUGAAAUUCUUUCUCCUUUGUGUUCACACUCAUUUUCAUCUGCACCUUGGCUGGGAUGAAGCUCCACGAGGACCGGCGUCUCCUGUCUUGAUCAUGCCCUCUAGAACAGUAUGUGACCAGAAGAGCUGGAUGCAAAGUCACUAAGAGAGGCCAGGCAUCCCAGCUGGUUCUGAUCGCUCCUGUGCCGAUUCAGUGGAGGCCUGGCGGUUUCUGCUGGAUGUCAUACCACUACUGCUGACUCGUGUUUGGUAUCCUGACACUACUGAACUGGACUGCGGCUAUCCUGACGAACAGAGAUUGAAAAUGCCCCCAAAGAACUACUUCUAAACAGGUAAACAGCACCAAGCUGCCUGGAGAGGAGAAGUUCUUAGCUGGCACCACACAGUCCCUCAGGACUGGCUCUACGAGUCACAGGACUGACCUGACUUCAGCUUGAUCAAGUCUCCUGUAAAGCAAGUGAUUCCCAGGAGCUUGGACAAGGUGACUGUGUCCACCCCAAUAAUGGGACCUCAUCAGAACAUCCAGAGAACACACUGUGUGUCAUAUACUACAACGGGCUCUGAGGAGGCCCGAGUACCCACCUACUCCAACAACGGUGGACCAGAGCAAAGACCUCAAGCCUCUAAAGCUUCAGCUUACACAGAAGCCAGGCAGAGGUGCCCUGGCCGACCUGGCCUGAUGUAUCUUGUUCCUCUUGAGGCCUCCGCUGCCUGACCCAUGGCUAAGAACCUGGAACUGAGGUUUUCUCAACAUAGCACCAGCCGGCCUCAAACUCUAAUGUUUUCUUCAUCCCGAGACCUGAAUGCAGCAUGCCCUGUGGUGGUACACAUCUGGAAUCUCAGUGUUUGGGAGAUAGAGUCAGGAAAACAUGUGAGCUUGGGACCAGCCUGGGUUACCUAGUGAGAACCAAUCGUGGUCAAAACAAAGAAAACAAACAGCAACCAUAAAGACAAAUGCAGAAGGGCACGUCCACAACCUGCUCAGGGUAACACAGUGGCCAAAGGAAGCAAGCCAACCGUCUGCCACGGAAGUUGGAGGAGAUUUAUUGCUGUUAACCAGGGUGGCUCUCACUGCAAGAGAAGCAUCAAGCUUGCCGUGGAUCUUGGAGUUUCAUUACGGAGUCAUCAGAAUGCUGCAAGAAGGGUCAUGACACCUGGUCCAGUGACACAGAGAGGCUGGUGCCAUGUUCUCAGCAUCCACACUUCUCAUCUCACUCACCUCUCCACAUCCAGAGCCUUGGCACCGAUCCACAGAACAGGAAACAACAGCUGAAGAGUUGCAGAUACAAGGUCCUUCCCAGGCUAAUCCCAGACACCCUGGCCUUGACAGCUCAACCCCAGACAGCCCUGCAAGCCUGUUAGCUUCCUGUAGAGAGGCAAGACAAGCAGGGAGGCAAGAUGAGGGCAUCCCAGGGCUCCCUCCUCCCCUCGGUGGAGCUGUUGCCCAAGGCCUGGGGAUGAUUUGUUUGCCCACAAAUCCAAAUAAGAUGACAAGCAAAUCAUCAGACUGGCUGAGAACGACUCGUUAAUUAGGAAAUAAAAUCAGGGCCCCGGACAAGCAGA
Long non-coding RNA from Mus musculus (house mouse), 2010 nucleotides. RefSeq annotates it as predicted gene 27246. The record is from RefSeq and is marked validated. The transcript has 12 exons. NCBI's taxonomy places the organism in Eukaryota, Metazoa, Chordata, Mammalia, Rodentia, Muridae.